GCUCGACCAGUUUUGCCUUUAGACUUGGUGAUGAUCCACUGAAUGAAUUGUUCCCAAUUCUGGUAGUAGCCUUGGGUAACUCCAAUCCACUAUAAAGUGUGAUGUCUCAGUAAGGAGGUGAAUGAACAUGAGAAGAAUAGAUGAUCCCUAGUCUCCUUAUCUUGUUGGCAAAGUGCACAUAUGUUAUCCACUGUGAGUGUCCACUGUUCCAGUCUAUUCUUUGUGGGCAGCCUGUUCUGUAGUAUAAGCCAGAGAUUAAAGACUGCCUUAGGUCGAGCAUAGUUUUGGAUAGUUAGGUUCUUCCACUCUACUCUUGGCAAUUGUCCAACCUGUUGUAAGUAGAAUUUCUUGAUAGAACAAAC
RNAcentral lists this long non-coding RNA (362 nucleotides) under Nicotiana benthamiana. RNAcentral describes it as "long non-coding RNA (NBEN_LNC013790)". Lineage: Eukaryota; Viridiplantae; Streptophyta; Magnoliopsida; Solanales; Solanaceae. The record is from RNAcentral.